This 72-nucleotide transfer RNA is filed under the name Glaucias dorsalis. RNAcentral describes it as "tRNA-Val". Lineage: Eukaryota; Metazoa; Arthropoda; Insecta; Hemiptera; Pentatomidae. The record is from RNAcentral.
CAAAUCAGGGUUAUAUAGGACUAUCCUUUAUUUACAUUAAAGGGUUAAUUUGUGCAAUUCAAAUUGGUUUGA